GGGAGGAAAGCAUGAAUGUGCGGUUAACUUGAAAUUAACAGGUGGUAGUUAGAAUCUACCUCUUCUCG
Molecule: transfer RNA, 68 nt
Filed under: Protobothrops jerdonii
Lineage: Eukaryota; Metazoa; Chordata; Lepidosauria; Squamata; Viperidae
Description: tRNA-Ser
Rfam family: tRNA
About the family: Transfer RNA (tRNA) molecules are approximately 80 nucleotides in length. Their secondary structure includes four short double-helical elements and three loops (D, anti-codon, and T loops). Further hydrogen bonds mediate the characteristic L-shaped molecular structure. tRNAs have two regions of fundamental functional importance: the anti-codon, which is responsible for specific mRNA codon recognition, and the 3' end, to which the tRNAs corresponding amino acid is attached (by aminoacyl-tRNA synthetases). tRNAs cope with the degeneracy of the genetic code in two manners: having more than one tRNA (with a specific anti-codon) for a particular amino acid; and 'wobble' base-pairing, i.e. permitting non-standard base-pairing at the 3rd anti-codon position.
Source: RNAcentral